AACUCCAAUAGCGUAUAUUAAAGUUGCUGCAGUUAAAAAGCUCGUAGUUGGAUUUGUGGGAUGGCCGUCCGGCGGGGGGCCAUUUAUUGGUCCCGUUUGUCCUGGUUUUCGGCCUUCCCUUUCUCGGGUCUAGCGUAUUGGCUGGCAUUAGGUUGUCGGCCGCUUCGCGCCCGUCGUUUACUGUGAAAAAAUUAGAGUGUUCAAAGCAGGCUUAGGCCGUUGGAUACAUUAGCAUGGAAUAAUGAGAUAGGGCCACCGCGGUCUAUUUUGUUGGUUUGCACGUUGUGGUAAUGAUUAACAGGAACGGUUGGGGGUAUUCGUAUUCAAUUGUCAGAGGUGAAAUUCUUGGAUUUGUGGAAGACGAACUACUGCGAAAGCAUUUACCAAGGAUGUUUUCAUU
RNAcentral lists this ribosomal RNA (400 nucleotides) under phytoplankton environmental sample. RNAcentral describes it as "partial small subunit ribosomal RNA". It matches the Rfam family "Eukaryotic small subunit ribosomal RNA", at positions 587 to 974 of the family's 1831-position model. The record is from RNAcentral.